Molecule: ribosomal RNA, 578 nt
Filed under: Micrococcaceae bacterium SDB-103
Lineage: Bacteria; Bacillati; Actinomycetota; Actinomycetes; Micrococcales; Micrococcaceae
Description: bacterial SSU rRNA
Rfam family: Bacterial small subunit ribosomal RNA
Source: RNAcentral
ACGGGUGAGUAACACGUGAGUAACCUGCCCUUGACUCUGGGAUAAGCCUGGGAAACUGGGUCUAAUACCGGAUACGACCAUUCCACGCAUGUGGUGGUGGUGGAAAGCUUUUGUGGUUUUGGAUGGACUCGCGGCCUAUCAGCUUGUUGGUGGGGUAAUGGCCUACCAAGGCGACUACGGGUAGCCGGCCUGAGAGGGUGACCGGCCACACUGGGACUGAGACACGGCCCAGACUCCUACGGGAGGCAGCAGUGGGGAAUAUUGCACAAUGGGCGCAAGCCUGAUGCAGCGAGCCCCGUGAGGGAUGACGGCCUUCGGGUUGUAAACCUCUUUCAGUAGGGAAGAAGCGAAAGUGACGGUACCUGCAGAAGAAGCGCCGGCUAACUACGUGCCAGCAGCCGCGGUAAUACGUAGGGCGCAAGCGUUAUCCGGAAUUAUUGGGCGUAAAGAGCUCGUAGGCGGUUUGUCGCGUCUGCUGUGAAAGACCGUGGCUCAACUCCGGUUCUGCAGUGGGUACGGGCAGACUAGAGUGCAGUAGGGGAGACUGGAAUUCCUGGUGUAGCGGUGAAAUGCGCAGA